AGCUCCAAUAGCGUAUAUUAAAGUUGUUGCGGUUAGAAAGCUCGUAGUUGGAUUUCUGCUGAGGAUGACCGGUCCGCCCUCUGGGUGAGUAUCUGGCUCAGCCUUGGCAUCUUCCUGAAGAACGUAGCUGCACUUGACUGUGUGGUGCGGUAUUUAGGACAUUUACUUUGAGGAAAUUAGAGUGUUUCAAGCAAGCGCACGCCUUGAAUACAUUAGCAUGGAAUAAUAAGAUAGGACCUCGGUUCUAUUUUGUUGGUUUCUAGGGCUGAGGUAAUGAUUGAUAGGGAUAGUUGGGGGCAUUCGUAUUAUGCGGUCAGAGGUGGAAUUCUUGGAUUCGCAUACGACGAACUACUGCGAAAGCAUUUGCCAAGGAUGUUUUCAU
This 382-nucleotide ribosomal RNA is filed under the name uncultured eukaryote. Its description in RNAcentral is "SSU rRNA". It matches the Rfam family "Eukaryotic small subunit ribosomal RNA", at positions 587 to 973 of the family's 1831-position model. The record is from RNAcentral.